AUGGACAAUGUUGAAGUUACCGCUGCAAGUGGGGUCUCUGGGAAAAGUGGGGUCAUGGUAUGGACCACUUCCAUGACCAACACUAUGCUAGGUUUUUUGGCUGACCUUGUUGCUAAAGGGAAGAGAACUUCUAGUGGAUUCAGGGAGACACAUCUCAAACAAUGUGCUGCUAUUUUUAACGAGCAAUUCAAGCUAGCUAUCACCUCUGAUCAAGUUAGAAACCAUCUCAAGAAGUGGAGGAAGAUUUGGGUCAGGGUUGUCAAUUUGAAGAAUUUAAGUGGAGCUCUAUGGGAUGAAGAUACUUGCACAAUUAGGCUCAGCGAAGAACACUAUGCAGGUCACUGUAUGGUAAGCUUCUUGUAA
This 363-nucleotide ribosomal RNA is filed under the name Triticum aestivum (bread wheat). RNAcentral's name for it is "partial small subunit ribosomal RNA". The record is from RNAcentral. Lineage: Eukaryota; Viridiplantae; Streptophyta; Magnoliopsida; Poales; Poaceae.